UGUUCCAUAGCUCAGUACGGUAGAGCAGUCGACUGAAAAUCGACCGGUUGAGGGUUCGACUCCCUCUUGAAGAU
RNAcentral lists this transfer RNA (74 nucleotides) under Burkholderiales bacterium. RNAcentral describes it as "tRNA-Phe". It matches the Rfam family "tRNA". Rfam says of the family: Transfer RNA (tRNA) molecules are approximately 80 nucleotides in length. Lineage: Bacteria; Pseudomonadati; Pseudomonadota; Betaproteobacteria; Burkholderiales. The record is from RNAcentral.